Daucus carota subsp. sativus is the source of this 458-nucleotide long non-coding RNA. RefSeq lists it as uncharacterized. Lineage: Eukaryota; Viridiplantae; Streptophyta; Magnoliopsida; Apiales; Apiaceae. The record is from RefSeq and is a predicted model, not a curated record. The transcript has 2 exons.
ACAGCCUUAGUCUCUCACGCCUCAGUUCAGUUCACAGUCAAAUGAAGUCAUGAAUACCUAAUAUCAUAUCACUGACCACUCGCCGCCUUCAACUUCAAGUUCAAGUCAUCUAUGGGAUAUGCAGCAAUAUAUGAAGACAUGGAGUUGAAAGAUUCAUGCGAGACUCGGCAGCUAUAAGAACUAGGGGAUGGACUCUGGAGCACCGGAGCAGUGCUGACUGCCGAGCAAUUUUCAAGAUUCAAGACUAAACUUCCACUUUCCACUGCUGAGCAUAUUUCAAGCUUUAAUUUCCACUUUUCAGUUUGAUUUUCAUAUAAGAUCUGUAAUGUACUUUGAUAUUGUGGUUUGUUUUAUAACUAUGAAGUACUGUGUGAUGUUAUGGAGUAUUCCACGGAGUGUAAUGUUUAAAUUCAUGUUGCUUGAUAUUGUGGUUUGCUGGAUUAUUCGAGCAUUUUUCA